Molecule: transfer RNA, 72 nt
Filed under: Phlebopus portentosus
Lineage: Eukaryota; Fungi; Basidiomycota; Agaricomycetes; Boletales; Boletinellaceae
Description: tRNA-Glu (TTC) (tRNA-Glu-TTC-2-1)
Rfam family: tRNA
About the family: Transfer RNA (tRNA) molecules are approximately 80 nucleotides in length.
Source: RNAcentral
UCGGAUAUGGUGUAACGGUUAGCAUAUCCGCCUUUCACGCGGUAGAUCGGGGUUCGAUUCCCCGUAUCCGAG